AGGGCCGCGGUANUUUGACCGUGCAAAGGUAGCAUAAUAAUUAGUCUUUUAAUUGGAGGCUGGAAUGAAUGGUCGGAUGAGGGACAUUCUGUCUUUUCUCUUUUUUUAAAAUUUAACUUUUUAGUGAAAAGGCUGAAAUUUUUUGGAGGGACGAUAAGACCCUAUAAAACUUAAUAAAUUAUAGUUUAACUUAAGAUUUGUGUGUAAUUUAGGUUAAGUUUAUAUUUUAUUUAGUUGGGGCGACUUGGAUAUAAAAUUUUGUAACUGUUUUUAAAAAUUAAUAGUUUUAACUAGUUUUUGAACCUGUUUUAUGGAUUAAAAGAUUAAGUUACUUUAGGGAUAACAGCGUAAUUUUCUUUGAGAGUUCUUAUCGACAAGAGUAGUUGCGACCUCGAUGUUGAAUUAAAAUUUUAGAAUGGUGUAGGUGCUAUUUAUAUGGGUCUGUUCGACCUUUAAAAUUUU
RNAcentral lists this ribosomal RNA (462 nucleotides) under Platycaris latirostris. Its description in RNAcentral is "partial 16S ribosomal RNA". It matches the Rfam family "Bacterial large subunit ribosomal RNA", at positions 1927 to 2597 of the family's 2925-position model. The record is from RNAcentral. Lineage: Eukaryota; Metazoa; Arthropoda; Malacostraca; Decapoda; Palaemonidae.